Molecule: unclassified non-coding RNA, 403 nt
Filed under: plant metagenome
Description: partial contains 5.8S ribosomal RNA, internal transcribed spacer 2, and large subunit ribosomal RNA
Source: RNAcentral
GCUAGAGAAAAUCGUCAAACUUACGCAGAUAGAAACCGGGAUGGAAGUGGUCAAUAAUCUCAAGGCAAAUUCGGUGUCAAAUAUGUAUGGACGUCGCAGGUUUUUCUUACCCUGUUUUACUAUCUGACCCACGUUCAUCUGAGACGCAUACAAAAGGGGCCACAGACUGCACCCGCCUUGAGGUAAAACAACAACCAACAUGGUUGCUUCAGGAGAGCUAGGAUGCCAGAAGGCGAUCGCCACAGCACUAAACCAAAAUCCCGUAGCAGAUCUGGCCAGUAAGAUCAGCAGAAUUUCCUGUAGUUGCAAAACCUUUGGCUGAAAAGACACCCCGACGAAAAACAGAAUUAAGGGAGUGGUGCAAGCUGACAGCCGUUGUAGGACCUCCAGUAAGGGAGCUGGC